GGUCAGGGUCACCAUAUCCUGAGACACCCGCAGGGUUUGGGGUCACGGUCAGGGUCACCAUAUCCCAACUCCCCCUGAGACACCCGCAGGAAGUGGGGUCACGGUCAGAGUCACCAUAUCCUGAGACACCCGCAGGGUUUGGGGUCACGGUCACCAUGUCCCAACUCCCCUGACACACCUGCAGGGAGUGGGGUCAUGGUCAGGGUCACCAUAUCCCAACUCCCCUGAGACACCCCCAGGAAGUGGGGUCACGGUCAGGGUCACCAUAUCCUGAGACACCCGCAGGGUUUGGGGUCAUGGUCAGGGUCACCAUAUCCCAACUCCCCUGAGACACCCCCAGGAAGUGGGGUCACGGUCAGGGUCACCAUGUCCCAACUCCCCUGACACACCUGCAGGGAGUGGGGUCAUGGUCAGGGUCACCAUAUCCCAACUCCCCCUGAGACACCCCCAGGAAGUGGGGUCACGGUCAGGGUCACCAUAUCCUGAGACACCCGCAGGGUUUGGGGUCAGGGUCACCAUAUCCCAACUCCCCCUGAGACACCCCCAGGAAGUGGGGUCACGGUCAGGGUCACCAUGUCCAACUCCCCCAGACACACCCGCAGGGAGUGGGGUCACGGUCAGGGUCACCAUAUCCCAACUUCCUCCGAGAGUGGGGUCCCCAUUGUACAAUUAGCAAUUACAGUUAAGUGCCUUGCUCAAGGGCACAGCAACAGAUUGUUCACCUACUCAGGUCCGGUAUUCAGACCAGCGACCUUUCGGUUACCUGCCCAACACUCUGACCGCUAGGCUACCUGCAGCAUUACGACAGUGUUCAAACAGUAGCCUCGUGUCUCUUAAUAUGUUUCAUACCACAAAAACACCAGUACAGUCAUAUUGACCUUUGCGAUUGUAACCAUCUCUAACAUUGACCUUUCUCUAACCAUGAUAUUUUGUACAGAAUGUCUUUUUUUUUUAUUUUUACAUUGUAACACUUUAUACAGUUUUUGUUGUGUAAAUAAAUACCUGAAUCAUUAAA
Oncorhynchus tshawytscha (Chinook salmon) is the source of this 1015-nucleotide long non-coding RNA. Lineage: Eukaryota; Metazoa; Chordata; Actinopteri; Salmoniformes; Salmonidae. The record is from Ensembl.